This 1550-nucleotide long non-coding RNA is filed under the name Coffea arabica (coffee). RNAcentral describes it as "long non-coding RNA (CARA_LNC007728)". Lineage: Eukaryota; Viridiplantae; Streptophyta; Magnoliopsida; Gentianales; Rubiaceae. The record is from RNAcentral.
UUUUGUCCACAUAUUUUUGGUAAAAUUUAAGCAUAAUAAUAGCAAUUUUCACAUAUUCUUGAUUUUGAGAGCUACAAAUUAUCCACUAAUACAAUCAUAAACAUAUAAUACAUAAAAAUCUAAAUGUUCAACACUUGAAAUGUUUAGUUACCAAUAAAUUUCAAAUAUAAAUAGUGUCUUCGGCACUUCAUCAUCAAGCCUGGCUGUAAUUAUGCUCUUCAACCCUAAUUACAUUAACAAGCAAAAGAAACCAGCAAAUGAGCUAUCCAAAAAGAAAACAGAAAGAAAGAAAAACAGCAGCCAAAAAAAGUCAAAAAAUCAGCCUGCUAAUUGAGAAAUUGAACACAAAAAAUCAGCAAAAAUAUAGCUUUAGACACAGCUAAAAAUUUGCCAUAAAAAGGGACCAAACAACAACCAAAAAUUGCCCAUAUCCAAAUGCCAUCUUUUUUACUGCAUGUGAAUACAGUAAAACGUUUUUGUCCCUCUGUGUGUAUAUAUAUUUUGGUCCGUGUGUGCUUCAAUUAUAUAUAUAUAAAAAAAUUUCCCCAGUCAAUGUAUCUGUUUUACACUCAAAUAAAUAAAAAUAAAGAGUUCUAGUAUUGGAAAUGUUUUUCUAUAUUGUGUUACAUGCCUAAUUAACAACACCGUAGAUCUAAAGCUUUAGAGCUCUGGCAAGAAAAGCCCCUAAGUUGGACCACCGUAGAAGAAAAAACAAAAGAAGAGCAGCCAUCCAUCAAUAUUUGGGGACCCGUCUUAAUUAAUGUCCGAGGCAACUAACAUCCUAUGAACAUCACAGGGGUCCACAACUACCUCUUUUUCAAUAGAUCUAAAGCUUUGAAUGAUAAAGCUUUGAAAGGAUGGAUCUACCCAGCAGGGGAAGAAAAAAAGUAAGUUUUUAUCCAUAGAUCUAAAGCUUUGAAAGGAGGGAGCUGCCGAGCUGGGGAAGAAAGAAAACAGAAAAGAAAAAGAAAGAAAAGCUGAGUACAUACCUGCAAAAGCUGGGUGGAGCUGGCGGAAGUGGGAAUUUGGAGUUUGGGAGUAGGGAAUCGGCAGGAGUCGGCAGAGGAAGUGAGGAUUUGGAAAUUAGGUAAAUUGAUGGAGUCAAAGACUUGUAAAUUUUAAUUGAUAUAGGGAUAUUUUUAUAAUUUCACAUUUAUUCGAGCCUAUUGAGCCGUCGUCGAGCUAUUGAGCCUAUGAAACAAAGACUCGUACUCGGCUCGUUUAUAUUAACUAGCGGCUCGAGCUCGGCUCAGCAGGCCUAGUCUCAGCUGACCACUCAUAUAUAUGCAAAGUAUUGCAAUUGAGUGAACCAUGUGAAUGCAAUUUCUUUUGAAGUUUGUCUUUCUGGUGAAAAUCUCUCUCUCUUAAGACAAAAAAGAAAAAAUUUUCUUGCCUAUCGAUCACACAAAAGCAUAGUAGUUUGGUUAAAUUUGUAAAUAAUCAAAAUUAGGGCGUUAUUAAUUUGGCCAAAACCGGCUGAAACCGCACAAAACAAUAGGAAAAGCUUUUCUAGCUAGUUGAGCUGCUGUUUGUACAUUUGACAGCUCAAA